CCCUUAGAUGUUCUGGGCUGCACGCGCGCUACACUGAAGCGUUCAACGAGUAUUCACCUUGCCCGGGAGGGUUGGGUAAUCUUUUGAAAACGCUUCGUGAUGGGGAUAGAUUAUUGCAAUUAUUAAUCUUCAACGAGGAAUUCCUAGUAAGCGCGAGUCAUCAGCUCGUGCUGAUUACGUCCCUGCCCUUUGUACACACCGCCCGUCGCUCCUACCGAUUGAAUGGUCCGGUGAAGCGCUCGGACCGCGGCCUCUUGACGGUUUUCCGUCGAUUGGCUGUGGGAAGUUCGUUAAACCUUAUCAUUUAGAGGAAGGAGAAGUCGUAACA
Molecule: ribosomal RNA, 328 nt
Filed under: uncultured eukaryote
Lineage: Eukaryota
Description: partial 18S ribosomal RNA
Rfam family: Eukaryotic small subunit ribosomal RNA
Source: RNAcentral